This 465-nucleotide ribosomal RNA is filed under the name Vreelandella stevensii. RNAcentral's name for it is "partial 16S ribosomal RNA". It matches the Rfam family "Bacterial small subunit ribosomal RNA", at positions 338 to 795 of the family's 1533-position model. Lineage: Bacteria; Pseudomonadati; Pseudomonadota; Gammaproteobacteria; Oceanospirillales; Halomonadaceae. The record is from RNAcentral.
CCUACGGGAGGCAGCAGUGGGGAAUAUUGGACAAUGGGGGCAACCCUGAUCCAGCCAUGCCGCGUGUGUGAAGAAGGCCCUCGGGUUGUAAAGCACUUUCAGUGGGGAAGAACGCCUGGUGGUUAAUACCCAUCAGGAAAGACAUCACUCACAGAAGAAGCACCGGCUAACUCCGUGCCAGCAGCCGCGGUAAUACGGAGGGUGCGAGCGUUAAUCGGAAUUACUGGGCGUAAAGCGCGCGUAGGUGGCUUGAUAAGCCGGUUGUGAAAGCCCCGGGCUCAACCUGGGAACGGCAUCCGGAACUGUCAAGCUAGAGUGCAGGAGAGGAAGGUAGAAUUCCCGGUGUAGCGGUGAAAUGCGUAGAGAGCGGGAGGAAUACCAGUGGCGAAGGCGGCCUUCUGGACUGACACUGACACUGAGGUGCGAAAGCGUGGGUAGCAAACAGGAUUAGAUACCCUAGUAGUC